AAAUGAGCAUUUGCAAACCAUUGUAAUAUUCCUUACUUUGACAUAAAGCUCGUGGGAAGAGCAAAAAUCCAACACAUACACACACAAGCACAACACAAAUUUUUUCUCUCUCUCUCAAAACAUUUUUUCUCUCCCCUCUCUCUUCUAAAAAAACAAAACCCUAAACAUUUUCUUUCUCCCCUCACUUCUCUCUUAGCCGCCAUCCUUCCACGCCGGAGCUCGGAGCUCCGGCGAACUCUUCGUCUCCCUCCCUCUCUUCAGCGUGCACACCAGCCCGCACACCACCACUCCACGACCCCACUGCCCCGUAACUCCUUCUUCCUCACCCAACGAAAUCGCCGCCUUCCACCAUCUUCUCUGGUGACGAGCUCACCGGAAUCCCACACCAACACCACUAUCCCUUCGCCCCCGCCCCCACUGCUUCUUCCUCCCAUCGCACAGCCCCCCUUCGUCUCCCUCUACUCCAUCCGCCACAUCUCUCUCUUUCCAGCCUCUCCUCCACGCCGGAGCUCGGAGCUCCGGCGAAUCCCCCACCACAACCAAACAGCCCCUUCAUCUUCUCACUGGAACAGGACCACUGUCUUGAAAAAAAUUAUUGAAUAUGUAUAAAUUAUUACGUUAGAACCCAAUAACUUAAACUAAUUAGAAUCCCGAACCCACAAGCUUUAAAUUCUAUCUCCGCCUCUGGCCCCAACAACCUCUGAGCGGCUUUGUCUCAAGCAUUUUAGUAUGAUUUCAAUUUAAUGUCACUGAUGACAGUUGUAGUUCAACAGCUUGAUAAGAACUAAAACAAAAAAAUUAACCACCUUGAUGUUGUCAAUGUUUUUUAGCACUUCUGCUGUAAUUUUGAGUGUUGCAACCUUUGGUACUUCCUUUUGUUGAAUACAUUGUGUUCAAGGAGCAGAGGAAAAUUGAAACUUGAAGAUAGAAAAGAAAUACACCUUCAAAUGCAAGAAACGUAUAUGCUAAAGUUUGGCCGAUGAAGAAAUUUCCGUCGAUUUCCAAGGCCUUCCAUGUACAAAGACAGGUUUUUAUUUUAAGUUUAUUCAUUAUUUCUUUAAUUCAUCCGAUAAUUAUUUAUUAUCUUACUAACAUUUUUAUUAAGUCUCAUGCAGGUAUCUGGAGUUACUUUUUUGAAGAUGACACUCAAAAGAAGUUCAAAUAGCUUCUUAAAUUUUUUGUUUAUAUAUUUUGUUUACAUUCUUAAAUUAUGCAAGCAUAAAAUAUAGUGAAAUUUUACUUUUUAGGGUGUAGGUUGGUGGUACUUAUUUAUGAUCUGCUUAGGUGAUUUAAAUUUUAUGUGUUUUAGACAAAUUAAUAUUAGACAGUUAUUAUUUUUGUAGCUAAUAUUCUUAUAGUUAUCAUGUUUCGCUAGAGUUUUAAUUCAAUAACUGAGCACACUUAAGUGAAUAAAUAGGGUGAUUUUCCUCAAUAUUUAGGCUUUAGAAUAUACUCUCAUAAUUAAUUGAUUGGGCGUACAUACCUAAUUAGUUAAAUUAGUUAACUCACUUCGAGUGCGAAAUAAUUUUAUGUUCAUUUUUGAUACCUUUGUCACAUACCCAAGCUUCUAAGUUGCACAUAACUUUUUUAAAAAAAAAUUAUUAUUAUAUCACAUAUGUAUAAAAUACGUAUUGCACGAUUAUUUAUGUGAAUAGUCAUAUUAGUUAUUCUUUAGUCUAAGCUCUACUAAUUUUUGUAAAUAAUAAUCAAGCCUUUUUACACAUCCCUCGAAUAGUUAAAUUGGUCCAGCCGGGAACCACAUUUGUGGAUUCUGAAGGAUGCCUAACACCUUCCCUUCGGAAUAAUUUGAACCCUUACCUAGAAUCUCACUUAUUUUCGUAGAUCAUGUUAAGCUGCAUAUAUUAAUAAUUUAUAGGUACCCUAGUAUACCUUAAAAGAUAGGUGGCGACUCUGUACAUAAUUAAUUAUUUCAGAGCUCCAUAAGUUGUGCUUUGUUUAGCCUUUGGUAAAAAUGGGGUGCAACAACAUGGCGACUCUGCUGGGGACACUUAGGUUCUAACCAUAUGGACUCAAUUUGUUAUUCGAGGUAUGUUGUCUUUAUUUGAAUUUUUCUUUAUUUUACUUGCCUGUAUUUAUUCGUCAUGUAUAUCCUUUCCCUUGUUCCCUUAUUUGUUUACGUACAUAUCUGCUUUUAAUUUCAUACACUGUAUUAUUGCCUUUUUUACUAGCAAGUUUUAUUUACCAUACUCAUUUUUUACUUUAUUAUAAAUUAUGCAUCUUGUUUUUACUGUUUCUCUUUGAUUGCUAUCUUUUGGUGGUUUUAUAUUAAUAUUCAUAUGUGUUAUCGGUAUAUAUAAAAUGGCAUGCCGUUCAUAUUUCCUCCACUUCUGGAAAACUCACACUAUCACACGUACACGCGAGGUGUGUUUUGCGCACCCGCGAUUUCUUUUUCCCGUAGAAUCCAAAUUUUAGGAGAGUUGGUGUAUGCGCGGGGUGCCCGAGUAACGGGGACCGCGUAGCCUUCUCACUCGAGUAGUCCGCUCGGGAGCCUUGUGUCAUAGAAAAAUCAACUCUUAGAAUUCCUAGGUUACUGUACAUCCCAUUUUGCAGUUAUUUUUAGCUAGGUUGAAUUUUGUCUUUUAUUUCGAACAUUCUUUUCAUUUUCACAUACUCUUUAUUUGUUACAUGUUUUGUUUUUAAAUAAAUAUUGUGUUAUUUGCUUUGCACUGCCUUAGCACUUUAUCUAAUUAUUUUUAGUUGACUCGUGUUGAACCCUGCAUUUUGUAAAAAAAAAAAAAAAAAAAAAAAAAUCAUGCAUUUUAUACCCCAUCAGCAAGAACUACGCACACCUGAUUCUCUUCUUUGAUGAGAUACGUAGGCAGCCUUUUUGGGUUCGGUAUUCAUUAUUCAUAAAAAAAAAAUCCUUUAUUUUGGAAAAAUCACAAAAAUAUUUUAUUUCUUUCUAUCCUAUUUAAACGAACUACGCGCACCUGAUUCUCAUCAAAGAUGAGAUACGUAGGCAAUCCUUUUUGGGUUCGGUACCCUUAUUCAAAAAAUACAAAAAAUAUUUUUUAGAUUCAUAUCUUUAACUUGGUUGUUACCAACACAGUUAGAAUGUGCAUAGGAAAGAAACAAGUAACAAUCAAUAUGAUGGAAAGUACUGACUUCGUGGUAAACUAUAGAUUCUUUUGGUACCUCUUAUUCACACUUUAAGUGACACUUGAAAAAUUCUCUUGCAUGCUUGUAAGACAAGAACAAAACCAACUUCAUUGUUUCAUGUGCAUUGUGUGGUGAGCUUUAGAUAGCGUUCAGUUGCAUUGCAUUGUGAUCUAGAACUUGGCCUGAAUGUCUAUUGAGGCGAAAUUAUGAGUAACACUCAGCAUAGAAAAGGAUCGUAGGCCUUCUUUGAUCCUUUUGAGCCUUUCUAGCCUACCAAAUGACAUUAUCUCUAGCAUUCCCCCUUUGAGCCUAAAGCCUUUUCUUUGGCCACCACAUCAUAAGCCUAUACCAUUUCUAAGUGCUUACAUGCACUAUCUCUCUCUUGGCCCAACCUCCCUGAGCGUACUAAAAAAACGUGCAACUGCGGAUAGAGAUCGGAGCUGAAGUUUCCAAAAAAAAAAAAAAAAAGAUUCGACCGUCCCAGAAAAACAAAGGCUAAGAACGACCUCCAAAGCAAGAAGGAGCCCACAAAAACAAAAAAAAAAAAAAAAAAAAAAAACCUCAGUCAUUUGGGAUCUCGGACAUACAACCUGUUAUUCCUUUUUAUUUUUCACACUCAGGCAUACAAUCCGGAAUUAGUAUCAAGACCUCGGGCAUACAACCCAGGUCAAUUCUCUUAAUCCCCACAGAGUCUCGGGCAUGCAACCCUAAACAAAAAAAAAAGGGCUUUAACUUGCAAAAGAGGUCGCACAAGUACAAAAGAAAGGGACAAUAAAACAAAGUAGAUCAGCGUCAGAGCACACAAAUACUAAGCACAGACAUAUUGCAACGCUUACGGAAGGAUUAGUCACUCCUUACCCAAAUAAUAUCCUACCCUUUUCCCAAGCCUACAUUACAACACCAUAACAAGCCCUACGUGAUUCUAUGCUAAGGUUUCUCUCAUUAGUGGAUACUUACAUGACGGCCAAGCUUAUGGUAUUACAAUUGCAAGCAUUGAACAUCUUUCUGAGUUUGAGUGUACUUCUCUAGAUGUCUCAAAGUUCAAAAAUACUGAAUAUGUGUGAAAAGACACUUUCUUUCUGGUGAGGGCACUUGAAACAUGAGGAUAGGUAUAGUUCAUAAUCCUUGUUUGAACCAAAAUGAACCAAUCUUGUCGAUCUUUAGGUAUGUCUGAGGUACCACUUGAAGCUAUAGAAAUUACCAAUAAGUCGAUCUUGGUUUGUUGGACGAUAAAUAAUGGUGAAUUCUUAUGCACAAUACUAAUUGUUGGUACCAACUGAAGUCGGGGCAUGUUAUAUCAAUCAUUUUUAUUAUUAAAAAAAAAAACAAUUUUGCUAGAUUUUGCUUUCGUGAUUUUGUUAUUUUUUUUUUCUUAAUUUUGUUUUUUAUCGUUGCACAGUAAAUAUAGUUCAAUGUUGUUGUGUUGUUACUAACUCUACGAGGUAUCGACAUCUGGUCUUACCAUGAAAGAUCCUCGUAUUUCUCCGCUGAAGCAUGAAAUUGGGAGAACAUUUUUGAGUUAGCUUAAAAAAAAAAUAACAAGUGCACAUCAUUUUCCGCUGGAAGUAUGCGAAUUUUUGUUUGUUUAAACUGGGACAGAAUUUUUGAGGGGGCCCUCAAAAAUUCCACCAAUGGCACAUUUUGAGAGAAAAGGCACGGGCUCAUCCAGCAGUAGGACACUGCAUUGGCUCGUCCAGCCCCACAACAGGACAUCGAGGGCGUCAUAGUCUAAAGGCAUCAUUCUCAUCGCCUAAAGCCACCAUUUCAUGGCCUAAGGACCUUACCUUCUGCACUUCAUUCGCGCCGAAGCAAAGGCGUUACCCUCCACACCAGCAUUGCUUUAUUAUUUUCAAAUGCCUCUGCGUAUGCUCGCAGCCGCAUUGCAUUGCACCUGCAUUGCUCACCGCUUUUUAUUACUGCCUGGGCCAUGCACCGCCCUUUUAAAUUUCUGCAUAAGGCUGUGCACCGCCUUUCAUAUGAUGCAUGGGCUGCGCACCGCCCUUUGCAUCGCUUUCAUAUAUUACAUGGGCCAUGCACCGCCCUUUGUAAUUUCUGCAUAAGGCCGCGCACCGCCUUUCAUGUUGCAUGGGCCAUGCACCGCCCUUUGUAAUUUCUGCAUAAGGCUGAGCACCGCCUUUCAUAUGAUGCACGGGCUGCGCACCGCCCUUCGCAUCGCUUUCAUAUGUUACAUGGGCCAUGCACCGCCCUUUGUAAUUUCUGCAUAAGGCUGAGCACCGCCUUUCAUAUGAUGCACGGGCUGCGCACCGCCCUUCGCAUCGCUUUCAUAUGUUACAUGGGCCUUGCACCGCCCUUUGUAAUCUCUGCAUAAGGCUGAGCACCGCCUUUCAUACGAUGCACGGGCUGCGCACCGCCCUUCGCAUCGCUUUCAUAUGUUACAUGGGCCAUGCACCGCCCUUUGUAAUUUCUGCAUAAGGCUGAGCACCGCCUUUCAUACGAUGCACGGGCUGCGCACCGCCCUUCGCAUCGCUUUCAUAUGUUACAUGGGCCAUGCACCGCCCUUUGUAAUUUCUGCAUAAGGCUGAGCACCGCCUUUCAUAUGAUGCACGGGCUGCGCACCGCCCUUCGCAUCGCUUUCAUAUGUUACAUGGGCUAUGCACCGCCCUUUUAAGUUUCUGCAUAAGGCUGAGCACCGCCUUUCAUAUAUUACAUGGGCCAUGCACCGCCCUUUGUAAUCUCUAUAUAAAGCUGAGACCGCCUUUCAUAUGCUGCCUGGGCUGCGCACCUCCCUUUCAAUUUUGUGCAUAAGGCUGAGCACCGUCUUUCAUAUGUUGCAUGGGCUGUGCACCGCCCUUUUGUAAUUUUUGCAUGGGCUGCGCACCGCCCUUUUGUAAUUUCUGCAUAAGGCUGAGCACCGCCUUUCAUAUGUUGCACGGGCCGCGCACCGCCCCUUGAAAAUUUCUGCAUAAGGCAUCGCGCUGCACCUGCAUUGCUUUGUUAUUGUCUUCAAAUGCUCUGUGUAGGCUCGCAGACGCAUUGCUCUGUACCUGCAUUCUUCGCCGAAGCAAAGGCGUUACAUAGCACGACCGUUCUUCGUCCUACACUUGCUAGGACCAUUCUAACAACACUGGGGCAAAAUUUGAUUGGACGAUCAAAAUUUGCCACAGCAUCCAUUAGUUAUCACCUUUCGAACUACACUGACCUGAUUCUCGUGAUUGACGAGAUAUGUAGGAAGCUCUAUGCAGAGUUCGGUCACAUCGGGACGAGAAUCAUUCUUUCCCCAGUAAGUAUACAAUCCUUCCCUUUUUAUCAUUUUUAUUUUUAUCGCAACCUUGCCGACGGACUGAGAGUAUUGUCAAAGCUCUACCAACGUCUGGCCUCUUUCUCCGUACAUAUCCUUUUAGCAAUUCUUUGUCGAGCCAAAAUAGGAUAAAUGUCAACGUCUUCGUCCGAAAACUCUUUCAUCGUCUCCGGUCGAAGAGGGACAAGUUGUUGACACCUAAUUUUGGCUCGACGUGCUUAAAAUUAACGUUUUGGGGGGCCUUGAUUCGUUAAAGAGCACGAAAUAUAUUUUUACACAUUUUUACAUUUUUUCAACAAUUUAUUGAUGAUUAUUCUUAUUUUAGGAAUUUUCUCAAUUUAUUGUUAUUUUCCAAGAAUCAUUAUUUUGCACAUGGUUGGGACAUUAUAGUUGAUUUAAGUGGGGACAUUAUAGUGGAAGUAAAUAAAUUGGUUGGGAAUUAAUGGAUAAAUUGAGGGGACAUGCCCAUGUGCAUUGGAAACGUGGAAGCAACUAUGGUAGUACCUCAUGGAUGAAGCAAAUUAAAUUAGUAGUAUUAUGUAUUCAUAUUGUAAUGAGUCAUAUUCCGUGGAAUGCAAAGUUGCACGUGAAAGGUGGAAGAGCAAUAUGUCAAUUGGUGGGAUUAUUAUUAUAUAGAUAUAAAAGAAAGGGGAGGACAAUAUUAAAAUCUAGCCCAUAUGCAUCAGAUUGGUGCCACAUUAUUGUACAGUGCUUAUUCUAUUAAAAUGAGCAUUUGCAAACCAUUGUAAUAUUCCUUACUUUGACAUAAAGCUCGUGGGAAGAGCAAAAAUCCAACACAUACACACACAAGCACAACACAAAUUUUUUCUCUCUCUCUCAAAACAUUUUUUCUCUCCCCUCUCUCUUCUAAAAAAACAAAACCCUAAACAUUUUCUUUCUCCCCUCACUUCUCUCUUAGCCGCCAUCCUUCCACGCCGGAGCUCGGAGCUCCGGCGAACUCUUCGUCUCCCUCCCUCUCUUCAGCGUGCACACCAGCCCGCACACCACCACUCCACGACCCCACUGCCCCGUAACUCCUUCUUCCUCACCCAACGAAAUCGCCGCCUUCCACCAUCUUCUCCGGUGACGAGCUCACCGGAAUCCCACACCAACACCACUAUCCCUUCGCCCCCGCCCCCACUGCUUCUUCCUCCCAUCGCACAGCCCCCCUUCGUCUCCCUCUACUCCAUCCGCCACAUCUCUCUCUUUCCAGCCUCUCCUCCACGCCGGAGCUCGGAGCUCCGGCGAAUCCCCCACCACAACCAAACAGCCCCUUCAUCUUCUCACUGGAACAGGACCACUGUCUUGAAAAAAAUUAUUGAAUAUGUAUAAAUUAUUACGUUAGAACCCAAUAACUUAAACUAAUUAGAAUCCCGAACCCACAAGCUUUAAAUUCUAUCUCCGCCUCUGGCCCCAACAACCUCUGAGCGGCUUUGUCUCAAGCAUUUUAGUAUGAUUUCAAUUUAAUGUCACUGAUGACAGUUGUAGUUCAACAGCUUGAUAAGAACUAAAACAAAAAAAUUAACCACCUUGAUGUUGUCAAUGUUUUUUAGCACUUCUGCUGUAAUUUUGAGUGUUGCAACCUUUGGUACUUCCUUUUGUUGAAUACAUUGUGUUCAAGGAGCAGAGGAAAAUUGAAACUUGAAGAUAGAAAAGAAAUACACCUUCAAAUGCAAGAAACGUAUAUGCUAAAGUUUGGCCGAUGAAGAAAUUUCCGUCGAUUUCCAAGGCCUUCCAUGUACAAAGACGGGUUUUUAUUUUAAGUUUAUUCAUUAUUUCUUUAAUUCAUCCGAUAAUUAUUUAUUAUCUUACUAACAUUUUUAUUAAGUCUCAUGCAGGUAUCUGGAGUUACUUUUUUGAAGAUGACACUCAAAAGAAGUUCAAAUAGCUUCUUAAAUUUUUUGUUUAUAUAUUUUGUUUACAUUCUUAAAUUAUGCAAGCAUAAAAUAUAGUGAAAUUUUACUUUUUAGGGUGUAGGUUGGUGGUACUUAUUUAUGAUCUGCUUAGGUGAUUUAAAUUUUAUGUGUUUUAGACAAAUUAAUAUUAGACAGUUAUUAUUUUUGUAGCUAAUAUUCUUAUAGUUAUCAUGUUUCGCUAGAGUUUUAAUUCAAUAACUGAGCACACUUAAGUGAAUAAAUAGGGUGAUUUUCCUCAAUAUUUAGGCUUUAGAAUAUACUCUCAUAAUUAAUUGAUUGGGCGUACAUACCUAAUUAGUUAAAUUAGUUAACUCACUUCGAGUGCGAAAUAAUUUUAUGUUCAUUUUUGAUACCUUUGUCACAUACCCAAGCUUCUAAGUUGCACAUAACUUUUUUUUUAAAAAAUAAUUAUUAUAUCACAUAUGUAUAAAAUACGUAUUGCACGAUUAUUUAUGUGAAUAGUCAUAUUAGUUAUUCUUUAGUCUAAACUCUACUAAUUUUUGUAAAUAAUAAUCAAGCCUUUUUACACAUCCCUCGAAUAGUUAAAUUGGUCCAGCCGGGAACCACAUUUGUGGAUUCUGAAGGAUGCCUAACACCUUCCCUUCGGAAUAAUUUGAACCCUUACCUAGAAUCUCACUUAUUUUCGUAGAUCAUGUUAAGCUGCAUAUAUUAAUAAUUUAUAGGUACCCUAGUAUACCUUAAAAGCUAGGUGGCGACUCUGUACAUAAUUAAUUAUUUCAGAGCUCCAUAAGUUGUGCUUUGUUUAGCCUUUGGUAAAAAUGGGGUGCAACAC
This is a long non-coding RNA of Lycium barbarum (goji berry), 9088 nucleotides long. RefSeq lists it as uncharacterized. The transcript has 3 exons. NCBI's taxonomy places the organism in Eukaryota, Viridiplantae, Streptophyta, Magnoliopsida, Solanales, Solanaceae. The record is from RefSeq and is a predicted model, not a curated record.